This 423-nucleotide long non-coding RNA is filed under the name Felis catus (domestic cat). RNAcentral's name for it is "lncRNA (ENSFCAG00000048956.1)". The record is from RNAcentral. Lineage: Eukaryota; Metazoa; Chordata; Mammalia; Carnivora; Felidae.
GCAGCCCCAUGGAGGAGUCAAGGGUCUUAGCUGUCUUCAGAACCAAAGGAUCCCAGUUACACAAGCUCCCAUGACCUGACCAUCUGUGAAAGGAUGCUUGGUUUUGCAAUGCUAAGCUCUUUCUACAGAGUUUUGUACUUCAUCCUGAGAGAGUUGUUGAAAAAAAGGAACCUGUUAUUUCAGUAGAUCUACGGAAAUGAAAGCACACCUGCUCUGCACUCAGCAGACCUGUGAGGUGAGGGGAAGAAAAAUGAUCUGCCAACUGAGCAUGAGAGCCUUACGGAGAAGGGGCUACUGAGAUAUGUGAGAGCUCAGUGGGGGACUCCUAGAUGAACAAGGUAAGGACCCUGCUCUAGAGAAACUAGGAAGGGGAGUGAGGGAGACAGAUGAAUUCUCAUCCAAAAGUCACAUUUUAAAAAAAUG